This 2106-nucleotide long non-coding RNA is filed under the name Elaeis guineensis (African oil palm). RNAcentral's name for it is "long non-coding RNA (EGUI_LNC024877)". Lineage: Eukaryota; Viridiplantae; Streptophyta; Magnoliopsida; Arecales; Arecaceae. The record is from RNAcentral.
CCUCUGGCAUAAAAAGAUAACCACCCACAUGCCAUGCAACUCUGUUGUGCCAGUAACUACCAAAACACCAACAACAAAGAAGAGUGGAAAGUUGUCACAAGAAACCAGUCUAGAUGGGCUUCCACCUUGAAGUCUCCAGAAUUAAAAAUAGCCUCUAUUUUAUGUCUUUCAGUAAUAUGAUAAUCUUGGUUGACGUUGUGCUUGAAAGAGCCCUUGGGGUUCAAGGCUCCACUUUGGAGAAUAUGUCAUCAAAGCCAGCAACUGCACCUACGCAUACAAUGAAACAGACAACCUCGCUGUACAUCAGUGGCAUGUAAGAGAAUAUUGGAUUUGCCUGCAUUUAUGAAAAUUUUCAAAAUAUAUGUAUUUUGGUUUUCAUAUUUCUCACACUUUUUGGUGCCAUUCAUAAACUAGCAAGCCUACAGUGACAUGUGCUCCCUGUGAAUGGAUGGCUCUUCACAGAAAAUCCCAAAGUCUUUCGUAAGUUUGUUGAAAAUUUGAUUCCAAACAAAUGAAUUAUACCAAAUAAUCUUUUGUAGAUUGUUCUUCUAUAAUGCUUUUAAGUAAUUUUAUAGAUAGAUUAUUUAAUUCAAACACAAAUGAUAACUCGUUGAAGAGAUUUCUGUUAUGGCCAUUUUCCAAAAUUUAAUGUCACUCCCCUUGCACCUUCAAUGAGUUGCCAGCGUUAUUGUUAUAAGUUCAUCAUAGUUGUUGCUCUUGCCCCAUCUGGAGCAAAUUUCCAGAACUGACUACAAUCAUAUGGAAGUAUGAACUGCAUUAAGUACAUGAAAUUGGUCAGAAGCAUGCAUGCAUAAAUAAACACCACAAAAGCACUCUAAACAUUUUCCAAUAUUUUCCAACACCUAGCAACCUAGCUAGCUCCUACUAUAAUCACUAUGGUUUUAUAACAUCUUUUCCUGAUUUAAAGUGAAUAGCAACAGAAACCUCAAAUGGGCAUGAUUGUUUUAAAUCAGCUAUAUCAGAUCUGUAAAAAAUGAUAAUAUCUUAAUGCCUUUCUAAAGAGAUUUAAAUUAAAAUAUUCAUAUAUAGAGAUUUAUUAAUUUAUUUAACAUGUGAUCCAAUCAAAUGCAUCAUAAUUAGCUUAUAUCCUACCUUGCAUAUUUGCUCCUCAGCUUCUCCUUUCCUCUUUCUCUACUUUUGUCUAAACGCAGGAAAGGAAGUGAGGGGUAACAGACAGUUCUAUUUCAAACCAGAACUAUGGGUUGAUGCAACACAUAUUGCUUAAGAGAAGAACUGAAUAGCUUCUAAGCAACACAUAUUGCCAGCCCACUGAAACCAGCUCUUAGGGCAAAUUUAAAAAAAAAAAGAAAAAAAAGAAAAAAAGAGAGGAAACACCAACACCAUCAAGUAGCUUAGAGGAUUAUACUAGUCAUUCAAAGUUAGAAGCACAAUUACUCAAGGAAUUGCUGUGUGGCUUUACAUAUCAAACGAGGCUGCAAUAAAUUUAACUGCUUUACUUCACUUGAAAGAUGCCCAAUAUCACCAUGAAAUUCCCAUACAAAAUAUUAUACAAUAUUCAGCUCCACAUCACUGAUCAGUCGAACAAAUCAGGAAAUAACAAGGAAACAAAAUCCAGGAACAGUUUUCGAAAUAAGUUUUCUAAAGAUUUCAAAAAAGUUACGAACUUUACCCUCUAUGGUGGCCCGUUGCGCCUCACAAACCACGGAUCCACGGCGAAGACCCUUACUAAUCGCCACGUUAGAGGCUGACAGAACCCUUAGACGGCGCGGAGCGAUCCCCAAACCACUAAAUUCCGGCAAGAGCCCCAUUCUGCGGGGGUAAAGAGAGGUGGAAACCGGCGCCGUCGCCACCCGCGGUGCGGAUGCCGCAAUGAUGGUGGGGCGAGGGCGGGGAGCCGCGAGCGACUCCAGAACGGCUGCGGCGGAGGCCAUUGGAGGAGGUAACCCUAAUGAGGGGAAAUGAACGAACCCUAGAGAAGCAAUGAACCCCAGGGUCGUUUGAUUCGAGGGGAGAGAUGAAGAGAUUGCUAUGCGAUGGGGUGAAAUAGAGAAGAUGAGGGAGUGGGAAAGGUGCUGCUGCGGAAUGGAGUGCUGACCGAGUCCGGAUCUCAAAUAAUUGUGAUCG